GUGCUCACUUUGGCAGCACAUAUACUAAAAUUGGAACAAUACAGAAAAGAUUAGCAUGGCCCCUGAGCAAGGGUGACACACAGAUUCAUGAAGCGUUCCAUAUUUUU
This 107-nucleotide small nuclear RNA is filed under the name Prolemur simus (greater bamboo lemur). The record is from RNAcentral. Lineage: Eukaryota; Metazoa; Chordata; Mammalia; Primates; Lemuridae.